UACGUAGGUGGCAAGCGUUGUCCGGAUUUACUGGGUGUAAAGGGCGUGCAGCCGGGCUGACAAGUCAGAUGUGAAAUCCCGCGGCUCAACCGCGGAACUGCAUUUGAAACUGUCAGUCUUGAGUACCGGAGAGGUCAUCGGAAUUCCUUGUGUAGCGGUGAAAUGCGUAGAUAUAAGGAAGAACACCAGUGGCGAAGGCGGAUUACUGGACGAUAACUGACGGUGAGGCGCGAAAGCGUGGGGAGCAAACAGG
Molecule: ribosomal RNA, 253 nt
Filed under: uncultured bacterium
Lineage: Bacteria
Description: partial 16S ribosomal RNA
Rfam family: Bacterial small subunit ribosomal RNA
Source: RNAcentral